RNAcentral lists this ribosomal RNA (564 nucleotides) under Streptomyces sp. 424A04. RNAcentral's name for it is "bacterial SSU rRNA". It matches the Rfam family "Bacterial small subunit ribosomal RNA", at positions 93 to 671 of the family's 1533-position model. Lineage: Bacteria; Bacillati; Actinomycetota; Actinomycetes; Kitasatosporales; Streptomycetaceae. The record is from RNAcentral.
UAGUGGCGAACGGGUGAGUAACACGUGGGCAAUCUGCCCUUCACUCUGGGACAAGCCCUGGAAACGGGGUCUAAUACCGGAUAUGAGCCUGGGAGGCAUCUCCCGGGUUGUAAAGCUCCGGCGGUGAAGGAUGAGCCCGCGGCCUAUCAGCUUGUUGGUGAGGUAAUGGCUCACCAAGGCGACGACGGGUAGCCGGCCUGAGAGGGCGACCGGCCACACUGGGACUGAGACACGGCCCAGACUCCUACGGGAGGCAGCAGUGGGGAAUAUUGCACAAUGGGCGAAAGCCUGAUGCAGCGACGCCGCGUGAGGGAUGACGGCCUUCGGGUUGUAAACCUCUUUCAGCAGGGAAGAAGCGAAAGUGACGGUACCUGCAGAAGAAGCGCCGGCUAACUACGUGCCAGCAGCCGCGGUAAUACGUAGGGCGCAAGCGUUGUCCGGAAUUAUUGGGCGUAAAGAGCUCGUAGGCGGCUUGUCACGUCGAUUGUGAAAGCCCGAGGCUUAACCUCGGGUCUGCAGUCGAUACGGGCUAGCUAGAGUGNGGUAGGGGAGAUCGGAAUUCCU